UGUCUUAUGGUAAAGAAUCUGUCUGCAAUGCAGGAGACCUGGGUUCGAUUCCUGG
RNAcentral lists this transfer RNA (55 nucleotides) under Capra hircus (goat). It matches the Rfam family "tRNA", at positions 8 to 63 of the family's 71-position model. From Rfam's summary of the family: Transfer RNA (tRNA) molecules are approximately 80 nucleotides in length. Their secondary structure includes four short double-helical elements and three loops (D, anti-codon, and T loops). Further hydrogen bonds mediate the characteristic L-shaped molecular structure. tRNAs have two regions of fundamental functional importance: the anti-codon, which is responsible for specific mRNA codon recognition, and the 3' end, to which the tRNAs corresponding amino acid is attached (by aminoacyl-tRNA synthetases). tRNAs cope with the degeneracy of the genetic code in two manners: having more than one tRNA (with a specific anti-codon) for a particular amino acid; and 'wobble' base-pairing, i.e. permitting non-standard base-pairing at the 3rd anti-codon position. RNAcentral also lists the same sequence under 1 other name. The record is from Rfam by way of RNAcentral. Lineage: Eukaryota; Metazoa; Chordata; Mammalia; Artiodactyla; Bovidae.